Molecule: long non-coding RNA, 348 nt
Filed under: Mus musculus (house mouse)
Lineage: Eukaryota; Metazoa; Chordata; Mammalia; Rodentia; Muridae
Description: long non-coding RNA chr12:79168485-79168833
Source: RNAcentral
AUGACCAAAAAAAAAAGGGGGGAAGAAGAAACAAGUCAUACCAAAAAAGGCCACAGGCAUGUGCAGGCAACUCAUUCUAUGAAUCAUUCUGUGAAUUGUACGUGGUUUAUGUCCAAGGACAAAGCCAUAAAGAAGUUCCAAACUACCAUCGGGGACAUUUUCAAAUUGAGUGUCUUUGAUGCUUCUGUGAUUCCCAAAAGGGCUCUGUCAAGCUGCACUACCCAGGGAUCAGUGACAUUCAUAGCAAGGUAGUCAAGAAUUGAUCUCGUGAAGCUGGAAGGACCUAACACCCCCCACCAUGACUUAGGCCAGCUGGUGCUGCCCCUAGACCUCCAUCAAAGCCCAUAG